RNAcentral lists this ribosomal RNA (301 nucleotides) under uncultured bacterium. RNAcentral's name for it is "partial 16S ribosomal RNA". It matches the Rfam family "Bacterial small subunit ribosomal RNA", at positions 509 to 807 of the family's 1533-position model. The record is from RNAcentral.
CAGCAGCCGCGGGAAUACGAAGGGGGCUAGCGUUGCUCGGAAUGACUGGGCGUAAAGGGCGCGUAGGCGGCGGCCAAAGUCAGGCGUGAAAUUCCCGGGCUCAACCUGGGGGCUGCGUUUGAUACUUGGUUGCUUGAGUGGGGAAGAGGGUCGUGGAAUUCCCAGUGUAGAGGUGAAAUUCGUAGAUAUUGGGAAGAACACCGGUGGCGAAGGCGGCGACCUGGUCCUUUACUGACGCUGAGGCGCGAAAGCGUGGGGAGCAAACAGGAUUAGAGACCCCUGUAGUCCCUGUCUCUUAUAC